GACGAACGCUGGCGGCGGGCUUAACACAUGCAAGUCGAACGGAAAGGCCCUGCUUGCAGGGUGCUCGAGUGGCGAACGGGUGAGUAACACGUGGGUGAUCGGCUGCUUACGGUGGGAUAAGCCUGGGAAACGGGGCCUAAUACGGGAUAGGACCAUGCGGGAGGGGGGGGGGUGGUAAGAUUAGUUUCGGUCAGGUUUGAGCUCGCGGCCUAUCAGCUUGUUGGUGGGGUAAUGUCCUACCAAGGCGUCUACGGGUAUCCGGUCUGAGGGGGUGGACGGCCCGAUUCGGACUGCGACGCGGCCCAGCCUCCUGCGAGAGGCGGCAGUGGGGGAUAUCGCACACUGGGCGCACGCCUGAUGCAGAGACGCUGCGUGGGGGGUGACGGCCUUCGGGUUGUGAGCUCCUUCCGGACGUGACGACGUCCUUGUGGUGACGUUAGUGGCAGAAGAAGCACCGGCUAACUACGUG
Molecule: ribosomal RNA, 469 nt
Filed under: uncultured bacterium
Lineage: Bacteria
Description: partial 16S ribosomal RNA
Rfam family: Bacterial small subunit ribosomal RNA
Source: RNAcentral